AAAUGAAUUGACGGGGACCCGCACAAGCGGUGGAGCAUGUGGAUUAAUUCGAUACUAACCGAAGAACCUUACCCAGGUUUGACAUCGAUCGUAAGCCCGAGAGAUCGGGCCCUCUUCCCAAAAGGAAGACGUGAAGACACUUGUUGCAUGGCUGUCGUCAGCUCGUGCCGUGAGGUGUACGGUUAAGUCCGUCAACGAGCGCAACCCUCGUUCUAUGUUGCCAGCGAGUAAAGUCGGGAACUCAUAGGAGACCGCCGGUGUAAGCCGGAGGAAGGUGAGGAUGACGUCAAGUCAGCAUGGCAGUUACGCCUGGGGCUUCACACAUGCUACAAUGGGCGCAACAAAGGGCAGCAAUACCGCGAGGUGGAGCAAAUCCCAAAAAUACGUCCUCAGUUCAGAUUGUAGUCUGCAACUCGACUACAUGAAGGCGGAAUCGCUAGUAAACGCAGGUCAGCUAUACUGCGUUGAAUACGUUCCCGGGUCUUGUACACACCGCCCGU
Molecule: ribosomal RNA, 500 nt
Filed under: uncultured bacterium
Lineage: Bacteria
Description: bacterial SSU rRNA
Rfam family: Bacterial small subunit ribosomal RNA
Source: RNAcentral